This 69-nucleotide transfer RNA is filed under the name Odorrana schmackeri (piebald odorous frog). Its description in RNAcentral is "tRNA-Val". It matches the Rfam family "tRNA". Rfam says of the family: Transfer RNA (tRNA) molecules are approximately 80 nucleotides in length. RNAcentral also lists the same sequence under 5 other names. Lineage: Eukaryota; Metazoa; Chordata; Amphibia; Anura; Ranidae. The record is from RNAcentral.
CAAAAUAUAGCUUAACAAAAGCCCCCCGCUUACACCGAGGAGUUAUCUGUUUGACCCAGAUUAUUUUGA